This 269-nucleotide unclassified non-coding RNA is filed under the name Hevea brasiliensis (rubber tree). Lineage: Eukaryota; Viridiplantae; Streptophyta; Magnoliopsida; Malpighiales; Euphorbiaceae. The record is from RNAcentral.
GUUCCUGCUCCAUCUGUCCAACCUUCCAAAUGAUACAGGUUUGGGGAAAACAAGCAAAACAUAGAAUAAUCAUCUCAGACUUUCAUAAGCCGAAAACAAAUAUAGAAAAAUGAAAAUAAUAAGAAUAGCAUGCCCAUUAGAAAAGAAAUCCCAGUUCAUAUAGAAAUUCUGCAACAUAUGCAAGUAAGCUUUACUUCCUCAAAACUUUGUUUCUCAAGUAUUUCAUAUUCUGAGAGUAAUAGGACUCCAACCUGUAGAACCCCCUUCAG